This 2068-nucleotide ribosomal RNA is filed under the name Neoechinorhynchus sp. JYW-2010. RNAcentral describes it as "eukaryotic LSU rRNA". The stretch from base 860 to 2068 matches the Rfam family "Eukaryotic large subunit ribosomal RNA", at positions 1 to 971 of the family's 3401-position model. Lineage: Eukaryota; Metazoa; Acanthocephala; Eoacanthocephala; Neoechinorhynchida; Neoechinorhynchidae. The record is from RNAcentral.
GUAGGUGAACCUGCGGAAGGAUCAUUAAAGAAAGUAGCAGCAGCAGCAGCAUUUGCGUGCAAGUGUUGUUGUUGCUGCGGCAACGGUUGCAGGUGUCCCUCGGCUGCCUUUGGGUAGACGAGCAGGACACUGUUGGGGUGAAAGGCUAAUGGCAAUAAAAAGCAAAUGGGAAAACACGGGCCAAAUUUGGCUAGCCGUUUCGUCGUCGUCGUCGUCGUCGUGGUAAUCGGUAACACAGUUGAUGAGCGCUGGUGAGCAGCAGAUAUGGCAUGCUUCCUAAAACGAGAUCAUCUGCUCCCAGCAUGGCUGUUGGUGUGGUCGGUGUCGUCGUGAGUCUUCUCGACCGAAACUCACGGCGUGGUCGGCCGUGGGUGCGCACUAGCUGUGCGCUCACAAGAAAGCUAAUGUAAAAACACAGUGCGCGGUGGAUCACUUGGACCGCCGUUCGAUGAAGAACGCCGCAGAGUGCGAUAAGUUCCGCGAAAUGCAGACAUCCUGGAACGGAAAAUCUUUGAACGCAAAUGGCGGCUGUGAAUACAAUAUUCAUGGCCGCAUCCGACUGAGUACCGUCUCUUGUACACGCGAGGUCAGCGAAGGCUCUAGGGUCAAACGAAAUGGUCUUGUGCUGUUUCGGUUUGAUUGAUCGGUUACUGCGCAGGACGGUGGCGGGCGCAGGCAACUUAGAUGAGAACUGUGGGAUGAUAGAGGUUGCGAAGCUCAUGGCAGCAGCGAUAGAACGUGUCGGUAGACUAAAAAGGGUAAAAAGUUGUCGCUAAAGACGAGAGCAGUGAAAACAGACUGCUGCGACUGACUGGGGCGGUAACUGCUUGCUGUUACAUGGGCUUCUUGCAUUCUUCUACGAUCUCAGUUCGGGUGAGAUAAUCCGCUGAACUUAAGCAUAUCAAUAAGCGGAAGAAAGAAAACCAACGGGGAUUCCCGUAGUAAUGGCGAAUGAACGGGGAAAAGUUCAUGACUGAAUCGCGCUGACCUGUCAGAUGCGAGUUGUGGUGUUCGGUGAUCGGUUUCGUGGGAUCAGUUGCGUCGCAUAAAGUUCAGGUUGAAUACGGCUUUGGCCACAGAGAGUGAUAGUCCCGUGUUUGCGACCUGCCAGUUCCAAGGGCUGAUCUGUGAGUCGAAUUGUUUGAGAUUGCAAUUCAAAUGUGUGUGGUAAACUCCAUACAAAGCUAAAUAUGACGGCGGUGCCGAUAGCGAAGAAGUACCGUGAGGGAAAGUUGAAAAGGACUUUGAAAAGAGAGUUAAAUAGUACGUGAAACUGCGCAUUGAAAAGCAAAUGGGUACGCUUAAAGUUUGGUCUUGGCAAUUCAGGUGUGUUCACUGGUGGUACACCCAGGUGUGCCACUGUGCACAUCGCACUUUGUUGGCUAACGCCCUGCAUGGCUUUUCCUCUUCUGCAGGCGCGAUGACUUUACCUGUCGACAACGUCGAUAUUGGUAAAUCGUGAUUGGACGUGUUCGCAAGAACACCGAUGUGGUCAGGCUGUGGCCGGUAACAACUACUGGCUUGGUCGUCAGUUGAGGUAGAGCUUUAAAACUCGAAUCGGGCAUUCCGAGGAUGUAUUCGCUGGGUCGGUGGUGGGGAAGCGUCUCGAUUCAAUUCAUUGGUCGUGGCGUUUGCUUGCUGCCGACACCGCUGCGGAUCCGGUCGAUUGUUCGAAUGAAUGCAGGAUGAAUGGCGGCAUCAUUUGAACCGUCUUGAAACACGGGCUAAGGAGUUCAACAAAUGCGCGAGUUAUCCAGUGGGCGCGAAGCUGGGUAGCAAAGUCAACGCGAUUUGUUAAUAAUUGUGAUAACCGGCAGCGUUCACGCGCUGGCCGGGUCAUCACUCAUGAUGGAUGGCACUUGAUUGAGAGUACUGUAGGUUGUCGUUCGCACGCGAGCGCACAUGUUGAGACCCGAAAGAUGGUGAACUAUGCCUGAACAGGAUGAAGCCGGAGGAAACUCUGGUGGAGGUCCGUAGCGUUUUUGACGUGCAAAUCAAUCGUCAGAUUUGGGUAUAGGGGCGAAAGACUAAUCGAACCAUCUAGUAGCUGGUUCCCUCCGAAGUUUCC